This 312-nucleotide ribosomal RNA is filed under the name Triticum aestivum (bread wheat). Its description in RNAcentral is "partial small subunit ribosomal RNA". Lineage: Eukaryota; Viridiplantae; Streptophyta; Magnoliopsida; Poales; Poaceae. The record is from RNAcentral.
AUGGAAAAUCAUCUUUUUUUAUCUGGAAACUAUACGUUAACGAUACGGGCUUGCAUCCGUCCUCUUGUCGGCAUAGAUGAGCAGAGAAGAUUCGUCUUUUUGUUAGGAAGUUGCUUACUAGAGAUACUAUGUUCUGGUUUUUUUAUUCUUUCAAAAAGGAGGUUAAAAGCCCUCGGCCUCUGCAUCAUUAUGAUGCACAUAAUGGUAUUUAUUAAAGUUGAUGCAAGACAACAAGGCCAAUGUCAUCAACAAGUGGGGAACAUAAAAAAUCAAUAUUUCAACUUCUUUCGCAACAACGAGUUUAAAGGUUAA